UCGCCGUGGCGGCCAUCUGCCGUCUCCCCGGGGCUAUAAGGCGGCCCCGACGCCUCUCCCUCGCGCCCCCGAACCCUAUCCCUCAUCCCCUUCUCCCUCGCGCCGUUUUCCCUCUCCUCCCCGCAACAAGCCGAAGCUCCGUCGUCAUGGCCGUCGCCAACCUCGCGCCCAUCAUCGUCCCCGCCACCUAGGACGGCACCAGGGGCUCCGACGACCUCGUCCACGUCAACUCCAAGGGCCAGAUCGAGAUCAUCGCCCCUCUGUGGAUUGGAUCGACCUCGUCUUCUUCCACGGGCGCCGCCGGAGAUCUUCUUCGGUCCCAUCCGCCCUGCAGCUCCUAAGCUAACACCGAGCCUCCUUGUGCUCCUCGAUGGUGGAUCCAUGGAGCCAGAUGCCACCCCCGCCGACUACUACUACUACCCAGAGGCUGCCUUCUACUACGUGGAGCCUGCCGAUGACCAGGAGUAGUUAGGAGGUCCCAGGAAGGAGGCCUUGCCUCUUCGAUCGUUGAUGUUUGCGCUAGCCUUCUUAAGGCAAAACUUGUUUAACUUAUGUCUGUACUCAGAUAUUGUUGCUUCCGCUGACUCUUGUGCUUUCGAGCUAUGUAUUCAAGCCCUCGAGGCCCCUGGCUUGUAAUAUGAAGUUUGUAUGACUUUCAUUUGUGUCUAAA
Molecule: long non-coding RNA, 670 nt
Organism: Triticum aestivum (bread wheat)
Lineage: Eukaryota; Viridiplantae; Streptophyta; Magnoliopsida; Poales; Poaceae
Exons: 2
Source: RefSeq, a predicted model, not a curated record